This 468-nucleotide ribosomal RNA is filed under the name uncultured bacterium. RNAcentral describes it as "partial 16S ribosomal RNA". It matches the Rfam family "Bacterial small subunit ribosomal RNA", at positions 28 to 507 of the family's 1533-position model. The record is from RNAcentral.
GACGAACGCUGGCGGCGUGCUUAACACAUGCCAGUCGAACGGAAAGGCCCUGCUUUUGUGGGGUGCUCGAGUGGCGAAAGGGUGAGUAACACGUGAGUAACCUGCCCUUGACUUUGGGAUAACUUCAGGAAACUGGGGCUAAUAACGGAUAGGAGCUCCUGCUGCAUGGUGGGGGUUGGAACGUUUCGGCGGUUGGGGAUGGACUCGCGGCUUAUCAGCUUGUUGGUGGGGUAGUGGCUUACCAAGGCUUUGACGGGUAGCCGGCCUGAGAGGGUGACCGGCCACAUUGGGACUGAGAUACGGCCCAGACUCCUACGGGAGGCAGCAGUGGGGAAUAUUGCACAAUGGGCUGAAGCCUGAUGCAGCAACGCCGCGUGCGGGAUGACGGCCUUCGGGUUGUAAACCGCUUUCGCCUGUGACGAAGCGUGAGUGACGGUAAUGGGUAAAGAAGCACCGGCUAACUACGUG